GUGGGAGCCGGGCUUGCCCGCGAUGGCAGUGGGUCAAUCAGCUAAUGUGUUGACUGACACUCCCUCAUCGCGGGCAAGCCCGGCUCCCAC
This 90-nucleotide unclassified non-coding RNA is filed under the name Pseudomonas antarctica. The record is from RNAcentral. Lineage: Bacteria; Pseudomonadati; Pseudomonadota; Gammaproteobacteria; Pseudomonadales; Pseudomonadaceae.